CCACCUGCAAUUCUGCAGCCUAUCACUCCCUUGCCGUUAUUGGGACAGCAUUUUCCUUUCUGCUCUCAUGCUCUUGUUCUUGUCUGGUUAUUCUCUUUGCUGUGCACCUGCAAACUCUGACAUUGUGAGAAUCCCACCCUUUGCUCCACUCCUCCCCCUCUUCCCCCCUCUCCUCCAUUUUUCUACCUCAUAUUUCAUAGCCUUUGAUUUAUAACAGAGAAAAAACAAGUCUUAGCUGAUAGCUUAGUAUUAACUGCAGUAGUAUCCAUAUCAUUUGCACAAAGCUUAGCUACCUGUCAGCCUGCAACACUUGUGUCUCAUCAAAGCAUGCUGCAAUCAACACAGAGUGCAUCAGAAGUGUAGAAAAACAAUAGAGAUUCUGAGUAGGUCCCAAUGAAGAACACACUGUACAAUGGUUUUGUGACUGACUAGGGGGGAGACACAGUGCAGUGAAAAUCAUCCUCAUUGUCAUGGAAAAUGCAACAAGAGCAUAAGGAGCAACAGAAGCCAGCAAUAAAACACUCUCCCCCAGUCCAAGCACACAGCAGCCAGCUCAGAGGAAAAAAGACCAACAGCCCAAACCCGGAGACCAGAAGCAGCAACCAGAAACAGAAAGCCUCUCAUGUUACAAUCUGAACUUCAAGCCCCAUGACACUGUGCUCCAGCCUGCACUUUGGUUUCCAAGCUGGCAUGAUGUCAGCCUGGUAUUGAACACACAUCUGCAGAUUCAGUUGGUUAAACCCAUGAGGAUGUGUAACAGUGUUCCUAAGCUGAACUCAUCUCAGUCCCAAGUCUGUUGUCCCUUAAGGAUCUUCAUCUCUUUAAAACCUUUUAUUUCCAGUGUGCUGUGCUUGAACCACAGGUUGCAUAAUCAGGUGGUUUCUCUUUGAGACAAGCAGGUUUAGACAGAACUGUUUUCAGUUCAGUUUCAGUGAAGAAGGUGAUACCAGAAGGUCUUGCAUCUUCAGCUAUUACUGUAAGCAAUUGUUUUAAAUGGCAUCCUGUCCAGCACAGGUUGCUGGGCUGAGGUUGCAUUGGUCCAAGGGGAGAUAAUACAAGAAUCUUAAGGACCCAGUGGCCUGCACAGAUAAGAUCUCACAGGAUGUGAACUAUGGGUGACAAAGGGAUUCCCCUCACUCAGAAGGGUGCUUGAAA
Molecule: long non-coding RNA, 1155 nt
Organism: Pogoniulus pusillus (Red-fronted tinkerbird)
Lineage: Eukaryota; Metazoa; Chordata; Aves; Piciformes; Lybiidae
Exons: 2
Source: RefSeq, a predicted model, not a curated record